Non-coding RNA from Triticum aestivum (bread wheat), 133 nucleotides. NCBI's taxonomy places the organism in Eukaryota, Viridiplantae, Streptophyta, Magnoliopsida, Poales, Poaceae. The record is from Rfam.
ACAAUACUCCCUCUGUCCGGAAAUACUUGUUGGAGAAAUGAAUGUAUUUAGAUGUAUUUUAAUUCUAGAUACAUUCAUUUUCAUCCAUUCAUCCAUUUAUGCGACAAGUAAUUCCGGACGGAGGGAGUACAAU